Molecule: transfer RNA, 74 nt
Filed under: Clostridium sp. AF34-10BH
Lineage: Bacteria; Bacillati; Bacillota; Clostridia; Eubacteriales; Clostridiaceae
Description: tRNA-Ile
Rfam family: tRNA
About the family: Transfer RNA (tRNA) molecules are approximately 80 nucleotides in length. Their secondary structure includes four short double-helical elements and three loops (D, anti-codon, and T loops).
Source: RNAcentral
UGUGGUGUAUUUCAAUGGUAAAAAGACCGUCUGAUGAGCGGUUAAUAUCAGUUCAAUUCUGUUCACCACAACUA